Long non-coding RNA from Equus caballus (horse), 497 nucleotides. Lineage: Eukaryota; Metazoa; Chordata; Mammalia; Perissodactyla; Equidae. The record is from Ensembl.
AGUAUUUCUUCUUCUGGUUGGACUGCGCUGUCAAUGACAACGUAGGGCGUGAGAGCUGCCCCUUUUGGCCUCCUGACUCCAUGUUAAUGAGGGAUCUUCUGAGCAAUGUUGAAUACCUGCAGUAACAGACGACAUCCUCGCCUCGUUUCUGACUUCAGUGGGAACGCGUCUGAUAUUUCACCUUCAAAAUCAUACUUACUUUUGUUUUCAAGAAUAUAUCCCUUGUGGCUGUCUUUGUACGAGAAGGCUAGCAUCCAUUCUCAGCUAACCGGAAGCUGAUAUGCUGGACGUGGCCAGGCUUGAAUGCUCUGCGCACAUGCCUCCUGAAGAGAAUGAAAUGUACGCUGGACGUUCCCCAGAUGAGAUUGCCGUCCGUGUCCAGCACCAGGCAAAUUCUCCUCAUUCCUUUCACUUAGUCCUGGCCUCACGAUCCAGCAUUUUUAUAGGAGUUUUAAGGUUUUAUGUUUCUAUUAAAAUUUUCCUUAUUGGUAUAAUCC